Molecule: ribosomal RNA, 422 nt
Filed under: uncultured Actinomycetes bacterium
Lineage: Bacteria; Bacillati; Actinomycetota; Actinomycetes
Description: bacterial SSU rRNA
Rfam family: Bacterial small subunit ribosomal RNA
Source: RNAcentral
GCGGCCUAUCAGCUUGUUGGCGGGGUAAUGGCCCACCAAGGCAACGACGGGUAGCUGGUCUGAGAGGAUGGUCAGCCACACUGGGACUGAGACACGGCCCAGACUCCUACGGGAGGCAGCAGUGGGGAAUCUUGCGCAAUGGGCGAAAGCCUGACGCAGCAACGCCGCGUGCGGGAAGAAGGCUUUCGGGCUGUAAACCGCUUUCAGCAGGAACGAAAAUGACGGUACCUGCAGAAGAAGGAGCGGCCAACUAUGUGCCAGCAGCCGCGGUGAUACAUAGGCUUCAAGCGUUGUCCGGAUUUAUUGGGCGUAAAGAGUUCGUAGGCGGUCGAGUAAGUCGGGUGUUAAAACUCUGGGCUCAACCCGGAGACGCCAUCCGAUACUACUAUGACUUGAGUUCAGGAGGGGAGACUGGAAUUCCU